AUUGAACGCUGGCGGCAGGCCUAACACAUGCAAGUCGAGCGGAUGAAGGGAGCUUGCUCCUGGAUUCAGCGGCGGACGGGUGAGUAAUGCCUAGGAAUCUGCCUUGUAGUGGGGGAUAACGUCCGGAAACGGGCGCUAAUACCGCAUACGUCCUGAGGGAGAAAGUGGGGGAUCUUCGGACCUCACGCUAUCAGAUGAGCCUACGUCGCAUUAGCUAGUUGGUGAGGUAAAGGCUUACCAAGGCGACGAUCCGUAGCUGACCUGAGAGGAUGAUCAGGCACACUGGAACUGAGACACGGUCCAGACUCCUACGGGAGGCAGCAGUAGGGAAUCUUCCGCAAUGGGCGAAAGCCUGACGGAGCAACGCCGCGUGAGUGAUGAAGGUCUUCGGAUCGUAAAACUCUGUUAUUAGGGAAGAACAUAUGUGUAAGUAACUGUGCACAUCUUGACGGUACCUAAUCAGAAAGCCACGGCUAACUACGUG
Molecule: ribosomal RNA, 484 nt
Filed under: uncultured bacterium
Lineage: Bacteria
Description: partial 16S ribosomal RNA
Rfam family: Bacterial small subunit ribosomal RNA
Source: RNAcentral